CGGACGGGUGAGUAACGCGUGGAAAACCUGCCGUAUACUGGGGGAUAACACUUAGAAAUAGGUGCUAAUACCGCAUAAGCGCACAGCUUCGCAUGAAGCGGUGUGAAAACUCUGGUGGUAUACGAUGGUUCCGCGUCUGAUUAGCUAGUUGGUGGGGUAAUGGCCUACCAAGGCAACGAUCAGUAGCCGGCCUGAGAGGGUGAACGGCCACAUUGGGACUGAGACACGGCCCAAACUCCUACGGAAGGCAGCAG
RNAcentral lists this ribosomal RNA (254 nucleotides) under uncultured bacterium. RNAcentral describes it as "partial 16S ribosomal RNA". It matches the Rfam family "Bacterial small subunit ribosomal RNA", at positions 99 to 354 of the family's 1533-position model. The record is from RNAcentral.